UGAGGAAUAUUGGGCAAUGCCCGAAAGGGUGACCCAGCAACGCCGCGUGGAGGAUGAAGGUCGUAAGAUUGUAAACUCCUGUUAGAGGGGAAGAAUAACUAAGUUUGGAGCUUAGUAUGACUGUACCCUCAGAGAAAGCCCCGGCUAACUACGUGCCAGCAGCCGCGGUAAUACGUAGGGGGCAAGCGUUGUCCGGAUUUACUGGGUGUAAAGGGCGCGCAGGCGGAAUGGAAAGUCAGUGGUGAAAUCCUAUAGCUUAACUGUAGAACUGCCUUUGAUACUUUCAUUCUUGAGUUCGGGAGAGAGAGACGGAAUUCCAGGUGUAGUGGUGAAAUACGUAGAUAUCUGGAAGAACACCAGUUGCGAAGGCGGUCUCUUGGUCCGAUACUGACGCUGAGGCGCGAAAGCGUGGGGAGCAAACA
Molecule: ribosomal RNA, 422 nt
Filed under: uncultured bacterium
Lineage: Bacteria
Description: bacterial SSU rRNA
Rfam family: Bacterial small subunit ribosomal RNA
Source: RNAcentral